AAGGCACAAACAAGCGAAUUAGUAAAAAUGAAGAUGAACAUGAAAACAUGUAUGUUGUAUGCCUUGUUUAUGACAGUGGUAUUAUUUUUUGGUAAGUAUGAAAUAAGAGCAGCAGGAAAUGAGGGAACAAAAUAUACAGAUUUGCGAGGUCUUGACGAUUUAAGUACAUUUAAUGAUUCUCAAAUUAUGGAUGUUUUAGGGUUAAACAUUGAAGGAACAAAAGAAAGGUUAGGUAAAUUAUUUCAUUUAAUAGAUAAAGAUAAAGAUAAUAUAUUAAGUGAUGAAGAAUUAGUUAACUGGGGAAAUUAUGUAAAAAAUGAAGUAUUUUUAAAACAAGUACAGAUAGAAAUGAAACAAAUAGAUUUAGAUAAAGAUGGAUAUAUAUCAUUACAAGAGUUGACUGAUGCAUUUGCACAAAAUUUGGAUUCAAAAGAAGUAGAAAAACAUUCAGAAGGCUUAUUAAAAAGAUUUCAAAUAGUAGAUAAAGAUAAAGAUAAUAAACUAAAUAUUAAUGAAGUAGGCUUAUUAAUAGAUCCUAUGAAAGAUCAGGAAUUAAAAGAUUUAGAAAUAAAUGAAAUAUUACAACAUCAUGAUUUAAAUAAAGAUGGAAAAAUAUCUAUUGAAGAAUUUAAACAAACACGAACAGAUGAUCAGAGUGUUAAAAAAGAUGAUGAUGUUGCAUUAGAUGAUUUUAAUUUUUUUGAUACAAAUAAAGAUGGUUUUAUAGAUAAAGAAGAAAUUAUACAAGUAUAUUUCGACCCUGCACAUGAGUCUGGUUCUAUAAAUAUAAAUGAAUUAAAAGAUAAUAUAUUUGAAGGUAAACCAAUUACAUAUGAGAAGUGGUUAGAAAAAGCAUUAAGAAUAGCAGUAACAUCAAUAACAGAUUAUGGUGAUAUUCUCAGAUACCCUGAAGAUUUUAAACUUGAUAUAGGUAAAAAUGUUGUAUUACCAUCAGCUAAAGCUAAGGUAAAUGAAGACGAUGAAUUAGAACAAGAAGAAGUAGACGCCGUAGAAAAGGAAGAAGAGUCUUCUCAUGAUGCAGAUGGAAAAACUGAAGCUUCUGAAGAGUUAUAAACGUGGUUCAUUUUUUUUUUCUUUAAAGUAAACAAAGGUACGUAUCAAUACAUUCAUAUAUAUAUAUAUAUAUAUGUGUGGUACAUCUAUUGUUAGCGUUACUUAUAAGAAUAUAUCGGAUGAAACUUGCACAUGUGUAUCAUUGCUAAUUACAAUAGAUAAAUAAAUACAGCAUAAUUAUUGCA
Molecule: long non-coding RNA, 1259 nt
Filed under: Piliocolobus tephrosceles (Ugandan red Colobus)
Lineage: Eukaryota; Metazoa; Chordata; Mammalia; Primates; Cercopithecidae
Description: lncRNA (ENSPTEG00000001829.1)
Source: RNAcentral